RNAcentral lists this ribosomal RNA (51 nucleotides) under Tulasnella sp. Dfr-QS-3-1. Its description in RNAcentral is "partial 28S ribosomal RNA". Lineage: Eukaryota; Fungi; Basidiomycota; Agaricomycetes; Cantharellales; Tulasnellaceae. The record is from RNAcentral.
CAUAUUAAUCAGCGGAGGAAAAGAAACUAACAAGGAUUCCCCCUAGUAAAC